This 442-nucleotide ribosomal RNA is filed under the name uncultured bacterium. RNAcentral's name for it is "bacterial SSU rRNA". It matches the Rfam family "Bacterial small subunit ribosomal RNA", at positions 954 to 1392 of the family's 1533-position model. The record is from RNAcentral.
GCAGAACGCGAAGAACCUUACCUACCCUUGACAUCCCGGUUUCGGUAUCCAGAGAUGGUGUCCUCCAGUUCGGCUGGUCCGGUGACAGGUGCUGCAUGGCUGUCGUCAGCUCGUGUCGUGAGAUGUUGGGUUAAGUCCCGCAACGAGCGCAACCCUUGUUCUCUGUUGCCAUCAGGUAAAGCUGGGCACUCUGAGGAGACUGCCGGUGACAAACCGGAGGAAGGUGGGGAUGACGUCAAGUCAGCAUGGCCUUUAUGUCCAGGGCUACACACGUGCUACAAUGGCCGGUACAAAGCGCUGCAAACCCGCGAGGGUAAGCCAAUCGCAUAAAGCCGGUCUCAGUUCGGAUUGCAGGCUGCAACUCGCCUGCAUGAAGUUGGAAUCGCUAGUAAUCGCGGAUCAGCAUGCGCGGUGAAUACGUUCCCGGGUCUUGUACACACCG